UACGGGGGGGGCAAGCGUUGUUCGGAAUUACUGGGCGUAAAGGGCUCGUAGGCGGCCAACUAAGUCAGACGUGAAAUCCCUCGGCUUAACCGGGGAACUGCGUCUGAUACUGGAUGGCUUGAGUUUGGGAGAGGGAUGCGGAAUUCCAGGUGUAGCGGUGAAAUGCGUAGAUAUCAGGAGGAACACCAGUGGCGAAGGCGACUUCCUGGCCUGUUCUUGACGCUGAGGCGCGAAAGCUAGGGUAGCAAACGGG
Molecule: ribosomal RNA, 253 nt
Filed under: uncultured bacterium
Lineage: Bacteria
Description: partial 16S ribosomal RNA
Rfam family: Bacterial small subunit ribosomal RNA
Source: RNAcentral